Molecule: ribosomal RNA, 200 nt
Filed under: uncultured bacterium
Lineage: Bacteria
Description: partial 16S ribosomal RNA
Rfam family: Bacterial small subunit ribosomal RNA
Source: RNAcentral
AUUGAACGCUGGCGGCAUGCCUUACACAUGCAAGUCGAACGGCAGCACGGGAGCAAUCCUGGUGGCGAGUGGCGAACGGGUGAGUAAUACAUCGGAACGUGCCCAAUCGUGGGGGAUAACGCAGCGAAAGCUGUGCUAAUACCGCAUACGAUCUACGGAUGAAAGCAGGGGAUCGCAAGACCUUGCGCGAAUGGAGCGGC